GUAACGCCUGCCCAGUGAGUUAACACUUAAACGGCCGCGAUUAAACGCGCGAAGGUAGCGCAAUCACUUGUUUCAUAAAUUGAGACCCGUAUGAAUGGCCACAUGAGAAAGAAACUGUCUCUUGAAGGUAACCGAUGAAACUGAUCUUCCUGUACAAAAGCAGGAAUAAUAAAGCAAGACAAAAAGACCCUGUGAAACUUAAAACAAAGCAUUAAAAUAAUAAUGCCCAACUUUUAGUUGGGGCAACUUAAGAUAUACAAAACAUCUUACUACGUCUAAACCAACAAGUUUUAACUACUAAACACAUGACCCGGCACUGCCGAUCAACGAACCAAGCUACUCCAGGGAUAACAGCGCUAAAUUCUUUAAGAGUCCAUAUCAACAAGAAUUAUUACGACCUCGAUGUUGGAUCAGGGCACCCAAACAGUGCAGAAGCUGUUAACGGUUCGUUUGUUCAACGACUAACUAGGAUAGUUUAAUAAAACACUAGGCCGUGAUCCUAAUAAUAGAACCUUAGUUCUUCCAAGCCAAGAAGAACGUUAGGGCUGCUAACCCUAACCCCUGAACGUAACAACACAGACUUCUUACUUU
RNAcentral lists this ribosomal RNA (591 nucleotides) under Acanthocercus annectans. RNAcentral's name for it is "partial 16S ribosomal RNA". It matches the Rfam family "Bacterial large subunit ribosomal RNA", at positions 1852 to 2639 of the family's 2925-position model. Lineage: Eukaryota; Metazoa; Chordata; Lepidosauria; Squamata; Agamidae. The record is from RNAcentral.